Molecule: ribosomal RNA, 468 nt
Filed under: uncultured bacterium
Lineage: Bacteria
Description: partial 16S ribosomal RNA
Rfam family: Bacterial small subunit ribosomal RNA
Source: RNAcentral
GACGAACGCUGGCGGCGCGCUUAACACAUGCAAGUCGAACGGAGCGGACCGGAUCUUGUGGUGUUCUCGAGUGGCGAAAGGGUGAGUAACACGUGAGUAACAUCCCCUUGACUUUGGGAUAACUUCAGGAAAAUCGGGCGAAUACCGGAUAUGAGCUCCUGCUGCGUGGUGGGGGUUGGAAAGUUUGGUUGGUUCGGGUCGGAUUGGAGGCGUAUCAGCUUGUUUGUUGGGUAGUGUAUUACCCAGGCUAGGACGGGUAGCCGGCCUGGGCGGGUGACCGGCCAGGUUGGGACUGGGAUGAGGCCCAGACCCCUACGGGAGGCAGCGGUGGGGAAGAUGGCACAAUGGGCGGAAGCAAGAUGCAGCAACGCCGCGCGGGGGAUGAGGGCCUGCGGGUUGUAAUCCGCUUUCGCCUGGGUCGAAGCGUGAGUGACGGUAAUGGGUAAAGAAGCACCGGCUAACUACGUG